RNAcentral lists this ribosomal RNA (442 nucleotides) under uncultured bacterium. RNAcentral describes it as "bacterial SSU rRNA". It matches the Rfam family "Bacterial small subunit ribosomal RNA", at positions 76 to 507 of the family's 1533-position model. The record is from RNAcentral.
ACCGUUCGGGUCGCCGGCGAGUGGCGGAACGGUGAGUAAUAUAGUACGGAACGUUACCUUUCAGGUGGGGGAAUAACGUAGACGAAAGUUACGCUAAUACCGCAUAUUCUGUGAGCAGGAAAGCAGGGGAUCGCAAGACCUUGCGCUGAUUGAGCGGCCGAUAUCAGAUUAGCUAGUUGGUGAGGUAAAGGCUCACCAAGGCGACGAUCUGUAGCGGGUCUGAGAGGAUGAUCCGCCACACUGGAACUGAGACACGGUCCAGACUCCUACGGGAGGCAGCAGUGGGGAAUUUUGGACAAUGGGCGCAAGCCUGAUCCAGCCAUGCCGCGUGAGUGAAGAAGGCCUUCGGGUUGUAAAGCUCUUUCGGCCGGGAAGAAAUCGCACAGGUUAAUACCUUGUGUGGAUGACGGUACCGGAAUAAGAAGCACCGGCUAACUACGUG